Molecule: ribosomal RNA, 1939 nt
Filed under: human oral metagenome
Description: bacterial LSU rRNA
Rfam family: Bacterial large subunit ribosomal RNA
Source: RNAcentral
UUAAGCUACUAAGAGCGUAGGGGGAAUGCCUUGGCACCAAGAGCCGAUGAAGGACGUGAUAAGCUGCGAAAAGCUACGGGGAGGAGCACAUAUCCAAAGAGCCGUAGAUAUCCGAAUGAGGGAACUCAAUCUAGGUAAAUGCUAGAUUAUCAUCACAUGAGUAAAGUAGUGUGAUAGAGGGGAACGUGGGGAACUGAAACAUCUUAGUACCCAUAGGAAGAGAAAAUAAAAAUGAUUCCGUAAGUAGUGGCGAGCGAAAGCGGAAAAGCCCAAACCUGAGUGAGCAAUCACUAGCAGGGGUUAGGACAUGCAACAAAUUCCAAGAAAGAGUGUAGUAGAAGUGUUUUGGGAAAGCACACCAAAGAGAGUGAAAGUCUCGUAUACGAAACACGAAAGAAGGAAGAGUAUGAUCCAGAGUAAGACAGGACACGAGAAAUCCUGUGUGAAUGAGCGGGGACCAUCCCGUAAGGCUAAAUACUACUUGGUGACCGAUAGUGAAAUAGUACCGUGAGGGAAAGGUGAAAAGAACCCCGGGAGGGGAAUGAAAUAGAAUCUGAAACCCUAUGCUUACAAGCAGAUAGAGCACGUUAAAGUGUGAUAUCGUACUUUUUGCAGAACGGUCCGGCGAGUUACUGUAUAUGGCAAGGAGAAGAGUUUAAGACUAAUAUCCGAAGCGAAAGCGAGUCUGAAUAGGGCGAAGUUAAGUCAUAUGUAGUAGACCCGAAACCGAGUGACCUAUCCAUGUCCAGGAUGAAGCUAGAGUGAAAUCUAGUGGAGGUCCGCACCAGUAGACGUUGAAAAGUCUUUGGAUGAGGUGUGGAUAGCGGAGAAAUUCUAAUCGAACUCGGAUAUAGCUGGUUCUCCUCGAAAUAGCUUUAGGGCUAGCCUUGAACAAAAACCGUAUGGGGGUAGAGCACUGAAUGAGCUAGGGGCCAAACAAAGGUUACCAAACUUUAUCAAACUGCGAAUACCAUAAGGGAAGUUCAGGAGUCAGACUACGGGAGCUAAGUUCCGUGGUCAAAAGGGAAAGAGCCCAGACCGUCAAUUAAGGUCCCCAAGAUAUAACUAAGUGGAAAACGAUGUGAUUUUGCGCAGACAACCAGGAUGUUGGCUUAGAAGCAGCCAUUCAUUUAAAGAGUGCGUAAUAGCUCACUGGUCGAGUGAAGUUGCGCGGAAAAUUACCGGGGCUAAGUUAUACACCGAAAUUGCGGAUUCAUUAAGAAAUUAAUGAGUGGUAGAGGAGCGUUCUAUACAGGAUGAAGUAUGAUCGAGAGGACAUAUGGACAGUAUAGAAGAGAGAAUGCCGGAAUGAGUAGCGAGAGCAAAGUGAGAAUCUUUGCCGUCGAAAAUCUAAGGUUUCCUGGGGAAGGUUCGUCCGCCCAGGGUAAGUCGGGACCUAAGGUGAGGCCGAAGGGCGUAGCCGAUGGACAGCAGGUUAAGAUUCCUGCACCAGUAUACAUGUAUAAUACAUAAGAGGACACAUUUGAAGAAGGUGAGCGAGGAAGAGGAAAAACUCGUAUGGCAACAUAUAGUGAAAUUAAGUAACGAAUCAUCAAGAGGCAAGUGGCGAGAAAAGUCUUAUGUAGUUGUGUAGACUGCCCGUACCGCAAACCGACACAGGUAGAUGAGGAGAGGAUCCUAAGACGAGCGGGAGAAGCAUUGUUAAGGAACUCGGCAAAUUGACCCCGUAACUUAGGGAUAAGGGGUGCUGGUGUAAAAACCAGUCGCAGUAAAUAGGCCCAAGCAACUGUUUAACAAAAACACAGGUUUCUGCUAAAUCGCAAGAUGAAGUAUAGGAGCUGACUCCUGCCCAGUGCUGGAAGGUUAAGGGGAAAGGUUAGGAAUAAUUCAUUAUAUCCGAAGCUUUGAACUCAAGCCCCAGUGAACGGCGGCCGUAACUAUAACGGUCCUAAGGUAGCGAAAUUCCUUGUCGGGUAAG